Non-coding RNA from Phasianus colchicus (ring-necked pheasant), 333 nucleotides. The record is from the annotation of a RefSeq genome assembly. Lineage: Eukaryota; Metazoa; Chordata; Aves; Galliformes; Phasianidae.
UCUGCCGCGUGCCACCUACAUCACCUUCAGCCCCAGAGGUGCAGGUCCUCCACGCCUCUUCCUGCACCGCCUCCAGCGGCGAUUCGGUGGAGCUGUUGUGUUUGGUGACGGGUUUUUCACCCGCCCAAAUCGAGCUGGAGUGGUUGGUGGAUGGAAUGAGGGGGUUGGUGGUGGCAUCCAACACCCCCGUGGUUCGUGAGGGGAGCACCUACAGCUUCAGCAGCCGCCUGAACGUCUCCAAGGAGGAUUGGAAGGAAGGGAAAAGUUACACCUGUCGGGUGAAACAUCCGGGAACUUCGACUGUAGUGGAGGACCACGCCAGGGCUUGUUCCA